RNAcentral lists this ribosomal RNA (253 nucleotides) under uncultured bacterium. RNAcentral's name for it is "partial 16S ribosomal RNA". It matches the Rfam family "Bacterial small subunit ribosomal RNA", at positions 524 to 776 of the family's 1533-position model. The record is from RNAcentral.
UACGGAGGGUGCGAGCGUUAAUCGGAAUUACUGGGCGUAAAGCGCGCGUAGGCGGUUCGAUAAGUCAGAUGUGAAAUCCCCGGGCUCAACCUGGGAAUGGCAUUUGAUACUGUCAGACUGGAGUGUGGUAGAGGGAAGUGGAAUUCCGCAUGUAGCAGUGAAAUGCGUAGAUAUGCGGAGGAACACCAGUGGCGAAAGCGGCUUCCUGGACCAACACUGACGCUGAGGUGCGAAAGCGUGGGGAGCAAACAGG